AGCCUCCUGAAGCAACUGAAGGUCAUCUGCUCCUCAUCAACAACAUACAAAGCUUCAGGUCGAGGUAUGAGCCACGACCGUGUUUGCUGGGAAAAAAGCUGUCGUGGUCAGGAUCAGGUGGACUGCAGCUCUCGUCACUAUGUUGAUGUGUAGAAAUUCAAGGAUUUCAGGACAUUGAGUGCUCCCCCAAUUGCACGAGACGGGGAGGUGGAUGGCAUUUUUGAUGAAAUUGCUGACGUGAAUGGGGCUUUGAGAAGACUGAAAUCUCAUCAGUGGCGGAUAUACUGGCUCAAGAUGUUCAUGAGCUUCCUACAAGCACUGAGCUAACUCUUCCCUGCAUUUUUUGGGUCAAGUCUGCCAACACCUAUGGGAAGGUAAAACGCCGUGAUGAUGGGAUUUAAGUUGAAGCAAAAAACUGCAAAAACAGGAAGAAAGAUGGAAGAGAACCUUAUGGGUCGGCCCAAAAGUCAUGGUGGCGCAACACCGAUGCUGAUCAAUAGCCUCGGCAGUGCCGCCUUUGGACAAGCCCUCUGUCUCGAUUCUCCCUUCGCAACUCAGCUCCACCGAC
Molecule: long non-coding RNA, 568 nt
Organism: Triticum aestivum (bread wheat)
Lineage: Eukaryota; Viridiplantae; Streptophyta; Magnoliopsida; Poales; Poaceae
Exons: 6
Source: RefSeq, a predicted model, not a curated record